RNAcentral lists this unclassified non-coding RNA (276 nucleotides) under Hevea brasiliensis (rubber tree). Lineage: Eukaryota; Viridiplantae; Streptophyta; Magnoliopsida; Malpighiales; Euphorbiaceae. The record is from RNAcentral.
AGCAUCUCAGGUUUGAUGUUUGUCAAGCCGUCCAUGGACUGGCUAUGCUGAUGUCUAACUCUUGGCUUCUCACUAACAGUAGGAGCAAAUUUAUUUGUUCCUGAAGCCAUUGCUGUUGUUUGUGAUGAACCUGGAGCAGCUGAAGAAGACUCACCCACUUGGAAUUCAGAAGACAGAGUUGAAGAAUUGAACUUAUCCAUGUCAAGGUACAUUGACAAGAUGUCCUCCUCAGUCUCAUCUGACAGAGACGGUCCAUCUAGUCCAACAACGCCAAGA